UCUCUCGUCUAAACCUAAACCUAAACCUCCACCAUCUCUCUCAACCUCAUCUGCCUCUUCUCCUUCUUAGAUCGACGCCCUUCUUCUCCGUCCGCGUCGCAUCAAAAAAAGCACCGCCUGCGAGCGAGCUCCUCUCCGCGAGCCCUAGCCACCUUCCUCUCCGCGAGCGAGCUCCUCUCCGCGAGCCACCGCCCUCUCCACGAGCGAGCUCCUCUUCGCGACCAGCCACCUUCCUCGCCGCCGUUCUUCUCCUCAGCUUCAUCCGGGUGGGUUUUCACCCCGUUCCUGCUUCCUCCUCUGGCGCCCCUUGGUAGGUCGGGGGAUGAGGUGAUUGAUAGAAGGGUGGCGCGGUUGGACCCGGGGAGCGUGCUCGAUGGGUAGGUUAGGGUUCCGGGUGGCGUUGGGGUGUGCGGCCGUGUCGUGCGCCAUCGCUGCGGCGCUAGUUGGUCGGAGGCUGAGGAGCAGGAGGCAGUGGAGCCGAGCGGUGGAGCUGGUGAGGGAGUUCGAGGAGGCGUGCGCCACCCCUGUCGGGAGGCUGCGUCAGGUGGUCGAUGCCAUGGCGGUGGAGAUGCACGCAGGGCUCGCGUCGGAUGGGGGUAGCAAGCUCAAGAUGUUGCUGACCUUCAUCGAUAAACUUCCCGAUGGCAUGGAUCCCGAACACAAAAGGGAAUCAAUCGAGAAAUACCAGGGGCCUUCUCAGUCCUAAGAUUGACAUUUUUCUGGUAUUGGUGAACUUACAUGUGUCCAUUUACAUGGCAUUUCGAGAUUCUUGGAUCAUUUCUGCUCAUAUCAUAUGCUUGCUCUCGGUGCCUGGGUAGAAAGCUAAUUCACUGUUGAUUCGUCGUCUAGCUAAAGAAUAUGCAAGCUAGAAUAACUGGCCACUGCUGUACAGAACUAGGGAGCAGAGGUAGAUGUAAAAAGGCUAACUAAGAGGCCUACUCCUCCUCGAUUUGGUCGCACCUUGACUGAAGCACAAAAG
Molecule: long non-coding RNA, 979 nt
Organism: Zingiber officinale
Lineage: Eukaryota; Viridiplantae; Streptophyta; Magnoliopsida; Zingiberales; Zingiberaceae
Exons: 4
Source: RefSeq, a predicted model, not a curated record